This 72-nucleotide transfer RNA is filed under the name Camelus bactrianus (Bactrian camel). It matches the Rfam family "tRNA". Rfam says of the family: Transfer RNA (tRNA) molecules are approximately 80 nucleotides in length. Their secondary structure includes four short double-helical elements and three loops (D, anti-codon, and T loops). Further hydrogen bonds mediate the characteristic L-shaped molecular structure. tRNAs have two regions of fundamental functional importance: the anti-codon, which is responsible for specific mRNA codon recognition, and the 3' end, to which the tRNAs corresponding amino acid is attached (by aminoacyl-tRNA synthetases). tRNAs cope with the degeneracy of the genetic code in two manners: having more than one tRNA (with a specific anti-codon) for a particular amino acid; and 'wobble' base-pairing, i.e. permitting non-standard base-pairing at the 3rd anti-codon position. RNAcentral also lists the same sequence under 2 other names. The record is from Rfam by way of RNAcentral. Lineage: Eukaryota; Metazoa; Chordata; Mammalia; Artiodactyla; Camelidae.
GAGGGUGUAGCUCAGUGGUACAGUGCAUGCCUAGCAUGCACAAGGUCCUGGGUUCAAUCCCCAGUACCUCCA